Molecule: ribosomal RNA, 2124 nt
Filed under: Triticum aestivum (bread wheat)
Lineage: Eukaryota; Viridiplantae; Streptophyta; Magnoliopsida; Poales; Poaceae
Description: partial small subunit ribosomal RNA
Source: RNAcentral
AUGCGUUGGCACGAUGAGGGUCGUACUAAAGAUGGAAAGAUACGGGAUCCAGCUGAUGGCGAGUGUUGGAAAGAUCUUGAUGCUAGAUACCCCGGUUUUGCUGCUGAUCCUCGUAAUCCGCGCCUUGGCAUUUCGAGUGAUGGAUUUAACCCUUUUAGGAGUAUGAGUUCAAAACAUAGUACUUGGCCAGUGAUGCUUAUCCCGUACAACCUAUCGCCUUGGAUUUGCAUGAAAGAAACAUCUCUAAUUUUAUCGAUGAUCAUUCCUGGACCAGCUUCCCCUGGGAAUGACAUUGAUAUAUAUUUGCAGCCACUGAUUGAUGAGCUCUUACAGUUAUGGGAUGGUGUAGACACAUUCGACGCUUCCUCGCAGGAGAUAUUUCCACUCAAGGCUGCACUGUUAUGGACUUUAAAUGAUUUUCCAGCAUUAGCUUACCUGUACGGUUGGAGCACAAGUGGUAAAUAUGGGUUUCCAUCAUGUGGUCCUUGUACAAGAUCAUUUCGCCUGAAUAAGAGUAUGAAACUUUGUUAUAUGGGUCACCGUCGCUGGUUACCACAGGGUCAUGUAUUUCGAAACCGAAGAAGGCAGGAAUUUGAUGGCACUAAAGUGACAGAAUUGGCACCGACAACUAUGAGUGGUAGUUCAGCUUUGAAAAGGUUGCAAGGCAGAGUGUUUGUGUUAGGCAAAAAAGGCAAUGUAGCAAAGAAAGCAAAGGGCGGAAAGAAGGUCAAAAACAGUGAAAAAGAAAAUGAAAUGAAUCAAGAGCCGAAGCGUAAAAGGAAGGCAGGCAACAAGAAGUCAAUUAAGAACCAAGGUAAGCCUGAGAAGAAGCCUGAGGAUUGGUUAAAAAAAUCAAUAUUUUUCAACUUGCCAUAUUGGGAACUUAACAAGUUAAGGCACAAUCUUGAUGUAAUGCACAUAGAAAAGAAUGUGUUUGAUAAUUUAAUUGGAACGUUGUUGGAUAUUGAUUCUAAAACAAAGGAUGGCCUUAAUGCACGGCUUGAUUUGGCAGAAAUUGGUGAAAAUGGAAUUCGACAUAAUCUUCAUCCUGUUGUAGAUGAUAAUGGAAAAAUAGUAUUGCCUGAUGCACCAUUUACUAUGUCUAGAAAACAGCAAGAAAUACUUUGUUCAGUGAUGCACAAUAUUAGGACCUCCGAUGGAUAUGCAUCAAAUUUUUCUAGGCAUGUCAACAUGAAAGAUUGUACAAUCUCAGGUCUCAAAAGUCAUGAUUGUCAUGUUAUUCUGGAAGAUAUUCUUCCUCUAGCACUUCGAUCCUGUUACCCACACAAAGAGGUCAUGGAAAUAGUUAUCGGGCUGUCUAAUUUCUUCAAGAAACUAUGCUCGAAAGUGUUAGAUGUCUCUGAGCUUGACGAACUUCAAGAGAGUAUUGUGAUGACACUUUGCAAUAUGGAGAGAAUUUUUCUUCCAUCAUUCUUUACUAUCAUGGUGCAUCUAAUGGUGCACUUGGUUGAAGAAGUUAAACUUGGUGGUCCAGUGCACUAUCGGUGGAUGUACCCCCUAGAGAGAUCAUUUGUUCGGCUGAAAGCACUUGUACGCAAUAGAGCAUUUCCUGAAGGUUCAAUUGCUGAAGGGUAUCUUGCCCAAGAAUGCUUGACCUUUUGUUCAAGAUUUCUAGAAGGAACUACAUGUUUUACAAGACCAUCAAGAAACCCCAAUCCUUCAGACAAGAUAAAAGAUUUGUACAUGUUCCAUAGUGCUGGUGAGCCAAUUGGAAAGGUUGUCCCAGUUGGGCAGUUUAAUAGCCGGCUUCUUAUUCAAGCACACCGAUAUGUCUUGCGACAUUGUGAUGAGCUUGCAGAUUUCCGCAAUGAAUUUGUGGCCGAAGAGAAUAGCAAACGAUGUGACUCAGCUAAUUUGACAGAAGCUGAUACCACUAAGUUAAUUAAUGAACACUUUGCUGACUGGUUGGAACAAAAGGUUUUACAGAGCGAUGGAUCAACUAUUACAGAAAAGGUAAGAGCUUUGGCUGCAAAACCCAACAGAUAUGGGGUGCGCUACAGUGGCUAUGUCAUCAACGGCUUUAGGUUCCACACGAUGAGUCAUGAGUCAGUGCAUGUCACACAAAAUAGUGGUGUAGUGAACAUUGCAGAAAAAUGGUGUUAG